UUUGAAUAUGUUGCAAAGAUGGAACAUACAUAGAAAUUCAAUCAAGAUAAAAAAUUCAUGCUAACACGCGAAUAUAACAGUACAAAUGCCCAAAAAAAUAAUAAUAUAGCAGUGUAAAUUGUGACUACACAAAGGAAAAAAAUAAAAAUACAAUAGACCUCAUUGGUGGACUUGAAUGAAGCUUUCAGAUCCUAUAGCACAGCGUAAAUGCCAAGACAAUACAGUGGAGAAUUUUCAAUCCACAUUUGAAGCUCAA
RNAcentral lists this long non-coding RNA (256 nucleotides) under Nicotiana benthamiana. RNAcentral describes it as "long non-coding RNA (NBEN_LNC033406)". The record is from RNAcentral. Lineage: Eukaryota; Viridiplantae; Streptophyta; Magnoliopsida; Solanales; Solanaceae.